UAGGGAAUCUUCGGCAAUGGACGGAAGUCUGACCGAGCAACGCCGCGUGAGUGAAGAAGGUUUUCGGAUCGUAAAGCUCUGUUGUAAGAGAAGAACGAGUGUGAGAGUGGAAAGUUCACACUGUGACGGUAUCUUACCAGAAAGGGACGGCUAACUACGUGCCAGCAGCCGCGGUAAUACGUAGGUCCCGAGCGUUGUCCGGAUUUAUUGGGCGUAAAGCGAGCGCAGGCGGUUAGAUAAGUCUGAAGUUAAAGGCUGUGGCUUANCCAUAGUACGCUUUGGAAACUGUUUAACUUGAGUGCAAGAGGGGAGAGUGGAAUUCCAUGUGUAGCGGUGAAAUGCGUAGAUAUAUGGAGGAACACCGGUGGCGAAAGCGGCUCUCUGGCUUGUAACUGACGCUGAGGCUCGAAAGCGUGGGGAGCAAACAGGAUUAGAUACCCUGGUAGUCCACGCCGUAAACGAUGAGUGCUAGGUGUUAGACCCUUUCCGGGGUUUAGUGCCGUAGCUAACGCAUUAAGCACUCCGCCUGGGGAGUACGACCGCAAGGUUG
RNAcentral lists this ribosomal RNA (550 nucleotides) under uncultured bacterium. Its description in RNAcentral is "bacterial SSU rRNA". It matches the Rfam family "Bacterial small subunit ribosomal RNA", at positions 355 to 896 of the family's 1533-position model. The record is from RNAcentral.